CAGGCUUAACACAUGCAAGUCGAGGGGCAGCAUCAUCAAAGCUUGCUUUGAUGGAUGGCGACCGGCGCACGGGUGAGUAACACGUAUCCAACCUGCCGACAACACUGGGAUAGCCUUUCGAAAGAAAGAUUAAUACCGGAUGGCAUAGUUUUCCCCGCAUGGGAUGACUAUUAAAGAAUUUCGGUUGUCGAUGGGGAUGCGUUCCAUUAGGCAGUUGGCGGGGUAACGGCCCACCAAACCGACGAUGGAUAGGGGUUCUGAGAGGAAGGUCCCCCACAUUGGAACUGAGACACGGUCCAAACUCCUACGGGAGGCAGCAGUGAGGAAUAUUGGUCAAUGGACGAGAGUCUGAACCAGCCAAGUAGCGUGAAGGAUGACUGCCCUAUGGGUUGUAAACUUCUUUUAUACGGGAAUAAAGUUAGCCACGUGUGGCUUUUUGUAUGUACCGUAUGAAUAAGGAUCGGCUAACUCCGUGCCAGCAGCCGCGGUAAUACGGAGGAUCCGAGCGUUAUCCGGAUUUAUUGGGUUUAAAGGGAGCGUAGGCGGGUUGUUAAGUCAGUUGUGAAAGUUUGCGGCUCAACCGUAAAAUUGCAGUUGAUACUGGCGACCUUGAGUGCAACAGAGGUAGGCGGAAUUCGUGGUGUAGCGGUGAAAUGCUUAGAUAUCACGAAGAACUCCGAUUGCGAAGGCAGCUUACUGGAUUGUAACUGACGCUGAUGCUCGAAAGUGUGGGUAUCAAACAAGAUUAGAUACCCUGGUAGUCCACACAGUAAACGAUGAAUACUCGCUGUUGGCGAUAUACAGUCAGCGGCCAAGCGAAAGCAUUAAGUAUUCCACCUGGGGAGUACGCCGGCAACGGUGAAACUCAAAGGAAUUGACGGGGGCCCGCACAAGCGGAGGAACAUGUGGUUUAAUUCGAUGAUACGCGAGGAACCUUACCCGGGCUUAAAUUGCAACUGACUGAACCGGAAACGGUUCUUUCUUCGGACAGUUGUGAAGGUGCUGCAUGGUUGUCGUCAGCUCGUGCCGUGAGGUGUCGGCUUAAGUGCCAUAACGAGCGCAACCCUUAUCGAUAGUUACUAGCAGGUCAUGCUGAGGACUCUAUUGAGACUGCCGUCGUAAGAUGUGAGGAAGGUGGGGAUGACGUCAAAUCAGCACGGCCCUUACGUCCGGGGCUACACACGUGUUACAAUGGGGGGUACAGAAGGCAGCUACACGGCGACGUGGUGCUAAUCCCGAAAGCCUCUCUCAGUUCGGAUUGGAGUCUGCAACCCGACUCCAUGAAGCUGGAUUCGCUAGUAAUCGCGCAUCAGCCACGGCGCGGUGAAUACGUUCCCGGGCCUUGUACACACCGCCCGUCAAGCCAUGAAAGCCGGGGGUACCUGAAGUACGUAACCGCAAGGAGCGUCCUAGGGUAAAACUGGUGAUUGGGGC
This 1434-nucleotide ribosomal RNA is filed under the name uncultured organism. RNAcentral's name for it is "16S ribosomal RNA". It matches the Rfam family "Bacterial small subunit ribosomal RNA". The record is from RNAcentral.